RNAcentral lists this ribosomal RNA (334 nucleotides) under uncultured bacterium. RNAcentral describes it as "bacterial SSU rRNA". It matches the Rfam family "Bacterial small subunit ribosomal RNA", at positions 568 to 898 of the family's 1533-position model. The record is from RNAcentral.
CGCGUAGGCGGCAAAUUAAGUCAGCUGUGAAAUCUCCGAGCUUAACUCGGAACUGUCAGCUGAUACUGAUCUGCUAGAGUGCGGAAGGGGCAAUCGGAAUUCUUGGUGUAGCGGUGAAAUGCGUAGAUAUCAAGAGGAACACCUGAGGUGAAGACGGGUUGCUGGGCCGACACUGACGCUGAGUGCGCGAAAGCCAGGGGAGCAAACGGGAUUAGAUACCCCGGUAGUCCUGGCCUUAAACGAUGAAUACUUGGUGUCUGGAGUCUCUAUAGCUCCGGGUGCCGUCGCUAACGUUUUUAGUAUUCCGCCUGGGGAGUACGCACGCAAGUGUGAA